AGCGGCGGACGGGUGAGUAACGCGUGGGUAACCUGCCCUAUACACACGGAUAACAUACCGAAAGGUAUGCUAAUACGGGAUAAUAUAAGAGAUUCGCAUGGAUUUCUUAUCAAAGCUGAGGCGGUAUAGGAUGGACCCGCGUCUGAUUAGCUAGUUGGUAAGGUAACGGCUUACCAAGGCGACGAUCAGUAGCCGACCUGAGAGGGUGAUCGGCCACAUUGGAACUGAGACACGGUCCAAACUCCUACGGGAGGCAGCAGUGGGGAAUAUUGCACAAUGGGCGAAAGCCUGAUGCAGCAACGCCGCGUGAGUGAUGAAGGCCUUCGGGUCGUAAAACUCUGUCCUCAAGGAAGAUAAUGACGGUACUUGAGGAGGAAGCCCCGGCUAACUACGUGCCAGCAGCCGCGGUAAUACGUAGGGGGCUAGCGUUAUCCGGAUUUACUGGGCGUAAAGGGUGCGUAGGUGGUCUCUUAAGUCAGGAGUGAAAGGCUACGGCUUAACCGUAGUAAGCUCUUGAAACUGGGAGACUUGAGUGCAGGAGAGGAAAGUGGAAUUCCUAGUGUAGCGGUGAAAUGCGUAGAUAUUAGGAGGAACACCAGUAGCGAAGGCGGCUUUCUGGACUGUAACUGACACUGAGGCACGAAAGCGUGGGGAGCAAACAGGAUUAGAUACCCUGGUAGUCCACGUCGUAAACGAUGAGUACUAGGUGU
This 710-nucleotide ribosomal RNA is filed under the name uncultured bacterium. Its description in RNAcentral is "bacterial SSU rRNA". It matches the Rfam family "Bacterial small subunit ribosomal RNA", at positions 94 to 823 of the family's 1533-position model. The record is from RNAcentral.